Molecule: ribosomal RNA, 472 nt
Filed under: uncultured bacterium
Lineage: Bacteria
Description: bacterial SSU rRNA
Rfam family: Bacterial small subunit ribosomal RNA
Source: RNAcentral
UGGGGAAUAUUGGACAAUGGGCGAAAGCCUGAUCCAGCCAUGCCGCGUGUGUGAAGAAGGUCUUCGGAUUGUAAAGCACUUUAAGUUGGGAGGAAGGGCAGUUACCUAAUACGUAUCUGUUUUGACGUUACCGACAGAAUAAGCACCGGCUAACUCUGUGCCAGCAGCCGCGGUAAUACAGAGGGUGCAAGCGUUAAUCGGAAUUACUGGGCGUAAAGCGCGCGUAGGUGGUUUGUUAAGUUGGAUGUGAAAUCCCCGGGCUCAACCUGGGAACUGCAUUCAAAACUGACUGACUAGAGUAUGGUAGAGGAGGGCGGAAUUCCCGGUGUAGCGGUGAAAUGCGUAGAUAUCGGGAGGAACAUCAGUGGCGAAGGCAGCGCACUGGCCAAAAUCUGACGCUCACACACGAAAGCUAGGGUAGCGAAGAGGAUUAGAUACCCGCGUAGUCCCUGAGCGGGCUGGCAAGGCGCAU